This 463-nucleotide ribosomal RNA is filed under the name uncultured Thiobacillus sp. RNAcentral describes it as "bacterial SSU rRNA". It matches the Rfam family "Bacterial small subunit ribosomal RNA", at positions 916 to 1381 of the family's 1533-position model. The record is from RNAcentral. Lineage: Bacteria; Pseudomonadati; Pseudomonadota; Betaproteobacteria; Nitrosomonadales; Thiobacillaceae.
GACGGGACCCGCACAAGCGGUGGAUGAUGUGGAUUAAUUCGAUGCAACGCGAAAACCUUACCUACCCUUGACAUGUCCGGAAUCCUGCAGAGAUGCGGGAGUGCCGAAAGGGAAUCGGAACACAGGUGCUGCAUGGCUGUCGUCAGCUCGUGUCGUGAGAUGUUGGGUUAAGUCCCGCAACGAGCGCAACCCUUAUCAUUAGUUGCUACGCAAGGGCACUCUAAUGAGACUGCCGGUGACAAACCGGAGGAAGGUGGGGAUGACGUCAAGUCCUCAUGGCCCUUAUGGGUAGGGCUUCACACGUCAUACAAUGGUCGGUACAGAGGGUUGCCAAGCCGCGAGGUGGAGCCAAUCCCAGAAAGCCGAUCGUAGUCCGGAUUGUUCUCUGCAACUCGAGAGCAUGAAGUCGGAAUCGCUAGUAAUCGCGGAUCAGCAUGUCGCGGUGAAUACGUUCCCGGGUCUU